ACAAGCGGUGGAGCAUGUGGUUUAAUUCGUAAGCAACGCGAAGAACCUUACCAGGUCUUGACAUCCCGAUGCUAUUUCUAGAGAUAGAAGUUACUUCGGUACAUCGGUGACAGGUGGUGCAUGGUUGUCGUCAGCUCGUGUCGUGAGAUGUUGGGUUAAGUCCCGCAACGAGCGCAACCCCUAUUGUUAGUUGCCAUCAUUCAGUUGGGCACUCUAGCGAGACUGCCGGUAAUAAACCGGAGGAAGGUGGGGAUGACGUCAAAUCAUCAUGCCCCUUAUGACCUGGGCUACACACGUGCUACAAUGGUUGGUACAACGAGUUGCGAGUCGGUGACGGCGAGCUAAUCUCUUAAAGCCAAUCUCAGUUCGGAUUGUAGGCUGCAACUCGCCUACAUGAAGUCGGAAUCGCUAGUAAUCGCGGAUCAGCACGCCGCGGUGAAUACGUUCCCGGGCCUU
Molecule: ribosomal RNA, 456 nt
Filed under: uncultured Streptococcus sp.
Lineage: Bacteria; Bacillati; Bacillota; Bacilli; Lactobacillales; Streptococcaceae
Description: bacterial SSU rRNA
Rfam family: Bacterial small subunit ribosomal RNA
Source: RNAcentral